GCACCGGUGAUACCUGAAGAAUCCCAGCAGGAGCACCGGCUCCCACUGUGAAGGCAGACUUCUCCCUUCCCUAGAUCAGUACUUAUACCCGCCUUCGAGAUGGAAAACAGUGGUGUGUCACGCAGCUCCAUGGGGUGCUAAUAACAAUAACAGCAAUCAGCAGAGUGGAGCUCCAAGGAAGUAGGAAAUGACAACCUAGUUUUCCUAUUUGCUGAGGGCAUGGAAGACGGUUCAGUUUGAGAGCUUUGCUAAAAGAAAAUCAUACAAAGGCUGUUGCUAAAAUCAGAACACAAAGUUUGGUACAAAAGAAGUAACCACACUUUGGAGGUGGAAACAUAGCAGUUCCAGGAGGAUAUUGGAGCUCUUCAUGGCUGAUAUGGAGAUAUGGUCCAACAACAUGCAGCUAACUUCAGGGACACACACUCAGGUGUCUCCCAUACAACUGCUCCUUGUCUUCUAGGCUGUUAUUCCUCCUGCUCCACUUGAUGAUGGAACUGCAUUUAAAAAUGGGAGCACCUGCGUACUCCUUUUGUUGAAGUACUGUAACCGGCUGCCGUUUCAGAGGGCUUUGUGAAGUUGAAGUAUUCACUACAGCUAAGCCACUGCAAAGCUAAUGAGAGUGCUGACCUUGAAGAUAGGAAGGUUACCGGCCUCCCAAGAUAAAAAGCCAAGUCUGAUGAAAACUAAACAAAAGAACAGCUGUUGCCUGCUCAAAGUUGAACAUACAGAAUGAAACUUGUCCAAAUGUUCUAACGAGAAACCUCUGAAAGAGAGUAUUGAGAAAAUACUUUGGCUCUGGAAAUGCGAAAGAAAAAUUACAAAGCUGGUUGUUUUUGAGUUUGAGCAUUUAAACACAAUCUAAUAUUUGGCUGUAAACUGUUUGAUGACCUCUCUGAAAUUUUUCACAAAAUUUCCUUGAACAAUUCUGGCAAGAAUAGGACUGUUGCACUAUAAUGGCUGCAGGCCUGGAUGUGGUACAGAUGAGACAGUUACAGGACACUUUCCCCUAGAACUAAAUAUUGCAGCAGAAACAAUAUCUGGGAAUCAGCACUGAAAAUUACAGCAAAAAGAACAAUUUGGGCAAAUAUUGGUAAGAAUUCCUAUGGUAUUGUAACACUUUUCACUAAAUGGAUUGGGCAAUAGAUGAAGAAUCUCAUCAGAUCGUUCUCAGAUAGCUCUUGCUGGUCAGUCAUGUAGCUCUGAUGCGGGGCACAGAAGUUAGGAUUUGCACAAAAAGAUGAAACUUCAUGCAGUGCAACCAUCUCCUCCUCAGCUGGCUGGCUGAGCUCCCUUUAUAGUCAUUGGAGAGAAAUACGUACUCUGAAAAAGCAAGCACUCCUUAAGUUCAGCAAGGAAGAAUAAGAACCUUCAGAAAAUGAUGAUCUCAUCUUACCUAGUGUAGGUGGUGGAUGAGUACUUGUCUCCUUCCACUAUUGCAAGACUAUUUCUCUAAGAGUCAGAAGAGGUACCUCAGGUGGCUGAGGUAGUUGCCUGGUUAGAUAACUAGUAAACCCUGUUCCAACACUGGUGGAAUUACAUCAGUGUAUAGGGUGCAGCACGUCUUCUUUCCCUUCCAACCAUAUGUGCACUUUCAAAUAUUUAUGCUGCAUUCAAAUGAAAGGGUGCCAUGCCAUGCCAUAGUUUUAGAAAUAUUGGCAUUAUUAAAGUUCUCCAGCACUUGAAACACUUUCAAAGCCUUCCUGCACCUGUUUUUCCAGCUUGCUCUCUAAAGAUUAAGCAGUUUCUCUUAUACUUUAAUCUCCACAGUUAUUCUGACAGUAACUUUAGAGUGUAGUGUAAUUGCCACCUAACCAACAUUAUACUGAGCCCAGGUUUUGAAAUGUUAAUAUUGUUUUAUGCCAUUGAGUAAUGACUAGUAACAAGGUAGUGUUUGUAACUCAGGAUGGAUGAAAUUAUUUUGUGGUCAGAAUAGCAAUUAGAAGUCUUUACACUUACGCAUUUUCAAAUCAGCUAUGGUUGCAACUUUUGAAAAAAUCCAGAGGAGACAAAAGCAAGGCAUAGUAGAACAACCCCCGAAGUGCCUUCUUCAUGAAGGAGAAAUCAAAACAACUUUUUUGCAUCUCAGUACUCUAGGUGAUUAUUAGUAACAUAGCUGAUGAAAGCAGUCCUCGCAGAAGUUAAUUAAACUUCUGCAAAAUGAAUUCUGUUAAAUGUUAAAUGACCCUGAUGGGGUUCUUUUGUUAUCUGUGAAGAAACCUGAAUUUAUUUUCAUCCCUGGUUUCCUUCUUUCUGGUCCAGAAGCCAUAGAGUGCAGAAGAGAGCAGCAGACUCGGGCACAGGGGAAUGAGGGAAUUCAGUAGUGCAAAGUGUAAGCUGCUCCAGAUGUGAUGCUGCCAUAGUCUCAGUUGUGAUCUAUUUAAUUAAAAAAUCCUCAUCCCUGUUGUUGGUACUUUGUAGGUGUAAACCUGAUACGUGCAUUUCCAAGUUGAAAUGAUGUCCAGGUUGAAGUGAUUAAAACCGUGCAGCAAUUUUCAUCAGUGUGCUCCAAUGCUCGCUUUGUCUCCUAGCUAAAGUCCCACUAAUUUGGAGCUAUUUGUUGAAGGAGCGGGGAGCUCAGGUAAUGUUUUCCUCAGUCCCUUCAGCAGCAAGUAAAAAUACUGAAAGGAACAGGAAAACCCACCUGAUCAACACGUGGCUAAGAGACUGGUGCUACCAGUGGAACUAUUUUUUUUUUUUUUUCAAACUCAUGGAGCAGUUUGAACAGCUCCAGGCUUGCUGAUGACAGGGUUCACCUAUCUCAAAGGAAGAAAAGGAUUCUAGCCCAGGAGUUGGCAGGGUUUGUUGAGAGGGCUUUAAACUAGAUUUGAAGGGGUAAGGGCAUAAAACCAGGCUCACCAGAGAUGAGCCAAGGGACAGCACGCUCAGGUUGGGGGUGAGACCAAUAGCCCAGCUGAUGCACAUCUGCACCAGUGCAUGGGCAACAAACAGCAGGAACUAGAAACCUCUGUGCAACAGGAACACUAUGACAUAGUCACCUUCAUGAAAACAUGGUGGGAUCACUCUCUUGGCUGGAGUGCUACAGUGGAGGGCUAUAAUCUCUUUAGAAGGGAUAGGCAAGGAAGGACAGGCAUUGGGGUGGCUUUCCAUGUUCGAGAGUGCUUUGAUUCUGCAUAGCUCAGUGCUGGGAAUAAUAAGGUCAAGUUCUUACGGAUAAAGAUUAGGGGGAAGGCCAACAAGGUGGGAGUCUGCUAUAGACCACCCAACCAGGAUGAAGAGGCAGAUGAAGCAUUCUACAUGCAGCUGGCAGAGGUCAUACAGUUGUCAGCCCUUGUUCUCAUGGGGGACAUCAACUUACCAGACAUUUGCUGGAAAUACAAUAGAGCAGAGAGGAAACAAUCUAGGAGGUUCUUGGAGUGUGUAGAAGGUAACUUCCUGACACAGCUACUAAGGGAGGUGCCCCACUACACCUGCUGUUCACAAAGAGAGAAGGACUGGUGAGAGAUGUAGUGGUCAGGAGCUGUCUUGGGCAUAGCGACCACAAAAUGCUAGAGUUCUCUAUUCUUGGUCAAGUCAGAAGAGGGGGUCACCAAAAUGGCUACCUUGGACUUCCGGAGGGCAAACUUCAGCCUGUUCAGAACAUUGGUUGGGAGAGUCCCUCGGGAGACAGUUCUGAAGGGCAGGGGGGACAUGGAAGACUGGACAUUCCUCAAGAAGGAAACCUUGAUUGUCUGAUUCUUUAAUGUUUGUGUAUGUCAAAAUACAAUGACUUUGUGUAAGAGUGAGGGAGUAGGGAAGAGAAAAAAACCCAGCAAAUAUUUCAUUUUCAUAUUGUCAUGGUUUUGUGAUUUUCGGUUAUUGGUAUUCCACAUCAUA
This is a long non-coding RNA of Numida meleagris (helmeted guineafowl), 3834 nucleotides long. RefSeq lists it as uncharacterized. The transcript is spliced from 5 exons. Lineage: Eukaryota; Metazoa; Chordata; Aves; Galliformes; Numididae. The record is from RefSeq and is a predicted model, not a curated record.